Molecule: transfer RNA, 94 nt
Filed under: Streptomyces olivaceus
Lineage: Bacteria; Bacillati; Actinomycetota; Actinomycetes; Kitasatosporales; Streptomycetaceae
Description: tRNA-Ser
Source: RNAcentral
GCGGGGGACGUCCAAGUGUCCCAGGACGCCGAAAGGUCUUGAAAACCGUCGUGGCAGCGAUGUCACCGUGGGUUCAAAUCCCACACCCACCGCA